UGGGGAAUUUUGGACAAUGGGCGCAAGCCUGAUCCAGCAAUGCCGCGUGCAGGAUGAAGGCCUUCGGGUUGUAAACUGCUUUUGUACGGAACGAAACGGCGAGCUCUAAUACAGUUUGCUAAUGACGGUACCGUAAGAAUAAGCACCGGCUAACUACGUGCCAGCAGCCGCGGUAAUACGUAGGGUGCAAGCGUUAAUCGGAAUUACUGGGCGUAAAGCGUGCGCAGGCGGUUAUGUAAGACAGAUGUGAAAUCCCCGGGCUUAACCUGGGAACUGCAUUUGUGACUGCAUAGCUAGAGUACGGUAGAGGGGGAUGGAAUUCCGCGUGUAGCAGUGAAAUGCGUAGAUAUGCGGAGGAACACCGAUGGCGAAGGCAAUCCCCUGGGCCUGCACUGACGCUCAUGCACGAAAGCGUGGGGAGCAAACAGGAUUAGAUACCCUGGUAGUCCACGCCCUAAACGAUGUCAACUGGUUGUUGGGAAGGUUCCUUCUCAGUAACGUAGCUAACGCGUGAAGUUGACCGCCUGGGGAGUACGGCCGCAAGGUUG
Molecule: ribosomal RNA, 548 nt
Filed under: uncultured bacterium
Lineage: Bacteria
Description: bacterial SSU rRNA
Rfam family: Bacterial small subunit ribosomal RNA
Source: RNAcentral